RNAcentral lists this ribosomal RNA (305 nucleotides) under uncultured Succinivibrionaceae bacterium. RNAcentral's name for it is "bacterial SSU rRNA". It matches the Rfam family "Bacterial small subunit ribosomal RNA", at positions 28 to 339 of the family's 1533-position model. Lineage: Bacteria; Pseudomonadati; Pseudomonadota; Gammaproteobacteria; Aeromonadales; Succinivibrionaceae. The record is from RNAcentral.
GAUGAACGCUAGCUACAGGCUUAACACAUGCAAGUCGAGGGGCAGCAUGCAGGUAGCUUGCUAUCUGUGAUGGCGACCGGCGCACGGGUGAGUAACAUUUGGGAAACUACCUGAUAGAGGGGGACAACAGUUGGAAACGACUGCUAAUACCGCAUAAAGCCUGAGGGUGAAAGCAGCAAUGCGCUAUCAGAUGUGCCCAAACGGGAUUAGCUAGUAGGUGAGGUAAAGGCUCACCUAGGCGACGAUCUCUAGCUGGUCUGAGAGGAUGAUCAGCCACAUUGGGACUGAGACACGGCCCAGACUCC